This 1338-nucleotide long non-coding RNA is filed under the name Homo sapiens (human). Its description in RNAcentral is "HSALNT0043470". Lineage: Eukaryota; Metazoa; Chordata; Mammalia; Primates; Hominidae. The record is from RNAcentral.
GUUGGUACAUCUGCAUGAGUGAUUCCAUUCAGGAAUUCAUUUCUCUAGGAAAUCUUCAAGAGGAAGUCAUUGAACUGCCUCAUCAAUAUUUAAUCAGUAGAAGGAAUCUGAGACGAGCUGGACUCAAUUCUUUGUCUAAAGAAGAGGUCUGCUUGGAAUACUUUGAACAGGCUAAAUAAAAUUUGCAGAAUAUGGCAUGUUCUGGCUUUGUAAAAUCCCCAACGGUGAGAAUACCAUAUUGCAAAGCGUAACAGAUCGAUCAAGCACCCAGCACGAGGACCGCUCCAUGAGUUUACGGCCCUAAUGGCUGCCUCACAACAAAAUACACAUUUAAACAGAGCACAUGAGUCAUAGCCGACUAACAAAAGAACCACCCAUCUGUGCACAUUCAGGAGAAAGAAGCUCGCUGGAGAGCGCUGAUGUGGACUGAAGCCUUGUCAUGGGGCUUUCACUGCAAGUGGAGCUGAAGCCCAGUGUCAUCAACUCUAACUCAAAUUUCCAGAGCUGAGAUUAUUCCACAAUGUUCUAAAGCCAGGCAGAGGAAGUGGUGGUGCCAAGCUUUAAAUUCAGUCUAAAGGCCGUCCAGCCAGGGCUUGCGUGCCAAUGGCACCACACUGAAUGAUAAUCCUGUUGGCCAGGACUCUCAACCUACUUCCAAAUCAUGUAUUAAAACAUUCUGAUGACUACCACAUAAUUCAUCUAGAUUCAUUACAAGAAUUAUAACAAUGUCUGUUACUCAUGUAUAAAAUGUUGUGAUGCUAACUCAGCAAUAAUAAUAUCCAACAUUUAUUAAACACUUGCUUUAGACCAGAAGUUGAGCUAAGUGCUUUUACAUGUUUGACCUCUAUUAAUUCUCAGAACAACACUAGGAAGUGGUUUCUAUUUUAUUAUUAUCCCCACUUUACAGAAUGAAAAACUAAGGGUUGAGAGGCCCACUCAUCAUCUCUUAUUCAAGUUCAUCACUCUUACCCAAGGUCACAUAGUCAGUGAAGAAGAAGGGAUUUGAACUUCAGAGAUCACACACACAUAACCUCCAUAGCAUUGGUUAAAGGAGAUGGAACCUGGGCUUUGAGUAUCCUAGAAUUUUAUUCCCCAACCAAUGUGGUGAGUUCUUAUAUACACAGGGUAAGGUCAACAGUACACAGCUCCUGCCUACAGGAAUCUUGCAUUCUGGGUUCACUCUGGUACUCCAUUCUAGAAAGCAAAGGGGCAGUAAGAAGUUGAGCCUGAAGUUCAGCAAUGGAGCCAUGUGAGCUUAAACAAAAUGAAAUGGUCUCUGGCUUACUACAUUCUGGUCCCACAUUAAAAGCACUGUUGCUCACUGAAGGAAACAUUAUC